Molecule: unclassified non-coding RNA, 1739 nt
Filed under: Hevea brasiliensis (rubber tree)
Lineage: Eukaryota; Viridiplantae; Streptophyta; Magnoliopsida; Malpighiales; Euphorbiaceae
Source: RNAcentral
GAAAAUUCUCAAAUUAGCCCUAAUUAUUAAUGUUUCUUUUUCCUAUACAAUAGAUGUAGUCCAUAGACCAUAUGAGUUUUUCCAUAGAUGGUUCUUGAGAGUUGAGGGUAUUUGCUUUCAUUCAUGGAACCAUCUUCCAUCUUAUCCAAUAAAAGUGAGGCUCCUGUUUCAGGAACCAGCGCAUCUUCAACAAAUCAUACAAAGUAUAAGGAGAUCAUCUCGACCCUUCCUCGAAUUGAAGGUAGAUGGCGACAAUCUCAGCAACUCCAUGAAUACCAAGGCUUUUGGUUCGGUCAAAAUAUACUUGAAGGCAUCAUGUCUGCACAGGAACACCUCAAAGCUCAACCUACUGAUAUUUUCAUUUGCAGCCAUCCAAAAUCUGGAACAACUUGGCUUAAAGCCCUGUCUUUUGCCAUUCUGACAAGAAAACGUUUUAGCUAUUCCUCCACAAAUCCUUUGCUUUCUGAGCUUCCACAUGAUGUUAUGCCCUUUAUUGAUAUUUCAGCAUUCACUGAUAUUACCAGCAGAGACCCUGAACUUCCACUUUUGUCCACUCACAUGCCUUACACUUCCUUGCCCAAGUCCAUUGUAGAGGGUAAGUGUAAAAUUAUUUACAUCUGCAGGGAUCCCAAGGAUUUGUUUAUUUCAUUGUGGCACUUUACUAGUAAGUUAAGAGGUACAAGCGCAGAAACCUUUCCAUUGGAGGAGGCAUGUCAGAAAUUUUGUGAAGGACUCCAUAAUUAUGGCCCUUACUGGGAUCAUGUUUUGGGUUAUUGGAAAGCAAGCCUUCAAUUUCCCGAGAGAAUGCUCUUCAUCAAAUAUGAAGAUCUGCAAAAUGACACCUUCUCCUAUGUCAAGAGAAUGGCAGAGUUCAUGGGUUGCCCUUUCUCCAUGGAAGAAGAAAGACAAGGAUUAGUGCAAAAAGUCGUCGACUUGUGCAGCUUUGAGAUUCUUAGCAAUUUGGAGGUGAAUAAGAGUAAAAAGCCCAGCUCUGCAAUAGGACAAUAUGUGAAAAUUGAAAAGAAAGCAUUUUUUAGGAAAGGUAAGGUUGGUGAUUGGGAGAACUAUUUGACAGCUGAAAUGGCAGCUACAAUUGAUCAAAUAACUGAACAGAAGUUCAGUGGUUCUGGCUUGUCUUUUAAAGCUCCAUAAACAUCUUUGUGUCAGUGCCAUAAUUUUGCUUGUGUUUUAGAAUGGUCUGGUAUGCUCUUAUAGCUUAGAAUGAUUGCAGCUAUUAUCUUUAGUUUUUAAUAAAAAUUAAUUUGAAUGUUUAUCACUCUUCUGUGAUCAACCUAAAUAUGUUUUUAAUGAUAUGAAUGAAGGCUUGUACUUGUCUAAGUUUGCAAUAAAAAUUUGUCAGCUAUUCAGUCUUUGGGAUUACAAUAUGAUCGGAUAUUUUGGAUAUUCAAUUCAGAUAUACCCAUUUUGUAUUUGGAUUUUAUGUAUUGGAGGAAGAAGAAGAAGAUGGGAUUUAGAUAUACCCAUAUUACAUUUGGAUUUUAUGUAUUUGAAGAAGAAGAAGAAGUUUCAGCGUCUCGAAAGCGAAGGAAGACAAAUUUCUUUACGGGAAAUGUGAGGACAAACUUUGCGGGAAAAAAGAAAAGCGAGGGCAAAGUUGCAUUGGAUAAGGGGUGUCUUAAUUUCUUUUGCUUGAUGGAGUAACUCACCUCCUCUUCUUGAACUUCUUGUAGCUGGCUACUAAUUUUAAUUUGCUAUUAAUAUAUAUAAUUGUCUUUAGU